GUAGUACAGUAUUUUAUCUGUGUUUUUAUAACAGUCAAAGGAGAACUUGAGUGGUAGAAAGUUGUCCCAGAAAUAGAAGAAGGUUUCCCCAGCAAUACAAUGCAGUUGUAAUUAUUUUAAGUAUGUCUACAACAUCACCAACCGUAAUCCACAUUCAUGGCGAUUGUCAUACUCUACAGUGUGGUACAGACAACACAAUAAUUGAAAAUAGCACCCAGUCUGAAAUAAAUGACUUGAUUUCAAAAUUGGAAAGAAGAAACGAUCAAGAAAUGAAAGAAGUAAAAGACAGGAUGGCUGACCUGGAAGCAUUUAAGAAGAAAGUUAUAGAACAAUUAGAAGUUGCGACCAACACUAAUAAUGGAUGUUGUAAGAGGAAAACGAGUGAUGAUAUUACUCUAAACGCAGUGGACAAUCACAAAUAUGAAGUUGUGGAUUCUAUAACUGUCAGUAAGAAAGUCAGUGUCAAUGAUUUAAAGAGGUUGAUAGAAAAGAAGAAGAAUGUCAAGAUUGGCCACAUUGUUAUAGAGAGCUAUAAAGAUGGGAGUUGGAUAUAUGUCUACAAAAGAUAUAACAUCCACAAGAACGACUAUAGCUUGGAAGAACUUGGGGUUUUAGACCAGGACUGGGUUUACUAUUACGCAUAGUAAAAUAUGGUGAUAUUUGAUGGGAUUCUUCACACGUCUUUCGUGCAUUGUGCA
Patella vulgata (common limpet) is the source of this 698-nucleotide long non-coding RNA. RefSeq lists it as uncharacterized. The transcript has 3 exons. The record is from RefSeq and is a predicted model, not a curated record. NCBI's taxonomy places the organism in Eukaryota, Metazoa, Mollusca, Gastropoda, Patellidae.